AGAAGCUUGCUUCUUUGCUGACGAGUGGCGGACGGGUGAGUAAUGUCUGGGAAACUGCCUGAUGGAGGGGGAUAACUACUGGAAACGGUAGCUAAUACCGCAUAACGUCGCAAGACCAAAGAGGGGGACCUUCGGGCCUCUUGCCAUCGGAUGUGCCCAGAUGGGAUUAGCUAGUAGGUGGGGUAACGGCUCACCUAGGCGACGAUCCCUAGCUGGUCUGAGAGGAUGACCAGCCACACUGGAACUGAGACACGGUCCAGACUCCUACGGGAGGCAGCAGUGGGGAAUAUUGCACAAUGGGCGCAAGCCUGAUGCAGCCAUGCCGCGUGUAUGAAGAAGGCCUUAGGGUUGUAAAGUACUUUCAGCGGGGAGGAAGGGAGUAAAGUUAAUACCUUUGCUCAUUGACGUUACCCGCAGAAGAAGCACCGGCUAACUCCGUGCCAGCAGCCGCGGUAAUACGGAGGGUGCAAGCGUUAAUCGGAAUUACUGGGCGUAAAGCGCACGCAGGCGGUUUGUUAAGUCAGAUGUGAAAUCCCCGGGCUCAACCUGGGAACUGCAUCUGAUACUGGCAAGCUUGAGUCUCGUAGAGGGGGGUAGAAUUCCAGGUGUAGCGGUGAAAUGCGUAGAGAUCUGGAGGAAUACCGGUGGCGAAGGCG
Molecule: ribosomal RNA, 656 nt
Filed under: uncultured Pseudomonadota bacterium
Lineage: Bacteria; Pseudomonadati; Pseudomonadota
Description: bacterial SSU rRNA
Rfam family: Bacterial small subunit ribosomal RNA
Source: RNAcentral